UACGUAUGGGGCAAGCGUUAUCCGGAUUUACUGGGUGUAAAGGGAGCGUAGGCGGCAGGGCAAGCCUGAUGUGAAAGCCCGGGGCUCAACCCCGGGACUGCAUUGGGAACUGCCCCGCUCGAGUGCCGGAGGGGCAGGCGGAAUUCCUAGUGUAGCGGUGAAAUGCGUAGAUAUUAGGAGGAACACCAGUGGCGAAGGCGGCCUGCUGGACGGUGACUGACGCUGAGGCUCGAAAGCGUGGGGAGCAAACAGG
RNAcentral lists this ribosomal RNA (253 nucleotides) under uncultured bacterium. RNAcentral describes it as "partial 16S ribosomal RNA". It matches the Rfam family "Bacterial small subunit ribosomal RNA", at positions 524 to 776 of the family's 1533-position model. The record is from RNAcentral.